GCUGGGUGCAGUGGUGCAUUCCUGUAAUCCCAGCAGCUAGGGAAGCUGAGACAGGAGGAUCACAAGUUCAAAGCCAGCCUCAGCAACAGCAAGGUGCUAAGCAACUCAGUGAGACCCUGUCUCUA
RNAcentral lists this small RNA (125 nucleotides) under Marmota monax (woodchuck). Lineage: Eukaryota; Metazoa; Chordata; Mammalia; Rodentia; Sciuridae. The record is from RNAcentral.